Molecule: signal recognition particle RNA, 298 nt
Filed under: Microcebus murinus (gray mouse lemur)
Lineage: Eukaryota; Metazoa; Chordata; Mammalia; Primates; Cheirogaleidae
Description: Metazoan signal recognition particle RNA (ENSMICG00000045561.1)
Rfam family: Metazoan signal recognition particle RNA
About the family: The signal recognition particle (SRP) is a universally conserved ribonucleoprotein. It is involved in the co-translational targeting of proteins to membranes.
Source: Rfam by way of RNAcentral
GCCGGACGCGGUGGCGCGCGCCUGUAGUCCCAGCUACCCGGGAGGCUGAGGCAGGAGGAUCGCUUGAGUCCAGGAGUUCUGGGCUGUAGUGCGCUAUGCCGAUCGGGUGUCCGCACUAAGUUCGGCAUCAAUAUGGUGACCUCCCGGGAGCGGGGGACCACCAGGUUGCCUAAGGAGGGGUGAACCGGCCCAGGUCGGAAACGGAGCAGGUCAAAACUCCCGUGCUGAUCAGUAGUGGGAUCGCGCCUGUGAAUAGCCACUGCACUCCAGCCUGGGCAACAUAGCGAGACCCCGUCAA